UGCUUAAUUGUGGUAAAUGUCGAAUGAGCGUCUCUGGAAAGAUGUAUGUCAAGUUAUUGCAACAGUGAACCCUUAUUUCUCUAAGAUUGGUUGCAACCUGGAUGGGACCCUUCCAUAUAUCUCGCAACCUAAUCACAUUAAACAGCUCCAUUAUCUCUAGACUUGAGAUGAUAUUUCCACCCUGAAGCUGAAACAAUUGUUCAAAGUUCCCCAAAGUUAUAUAUUCGAAAUCUGGUGAUAUUUGU
Molecule: long non-coding RNA, 245 nt
Filed under: Gossypium barbadense (sea-island cotton)
Lineage: Eukaryota; Viridiplantae; Streptophyta; Magnoliopsida; Malvales; Malvaceae
Description: long non-coding RNA (GBAR_LNC000089)
Source: RNAcentral